RNAcentral lists this ribosomal RNA (301 nucleotides) under uncultured bacterium. RNAcentral describes it as "partial 16S ribosomal RNA". It matches the Rfam family "Bacterial small subunit ribosomal RNA", at positions 509 to 807 of the family's 1533-position model. The record is from RNAcentral.
CAGUAGCCGCGGGAAUACGGAGGGUGCAAGCGUUAAUCGGAAUUACUGGGCGUAAAGCGUGCGUAGGCGGUUCGUUAAGUCUGUUGUGAAAGCCCCGGGCUCAACCUGGGAAUGGCAAUGGAUACUGGCGAGCUAGAGUGUGUCAGAGGAUGGUGGAAUUCCCGGUGUAGCGGUGAAAUGCGUAGAGAUCGGGAGGAACAUCAGUGGCGAAGGCGGCCAUCUGGGACAACACUGACACUGAGGCACGAAAGCGCGGGGAGCAAACAGGAUUAGAUACCCCAGUAGUCCCUGUCUCUUAUAC